AUUCCAGCUCCAAUAGCGUAUAUUAAAGUUGUUGCAGUUAAAAAGCUCGUAGUUGGACUUCUGGGUUGUGAUUGUGGUCCGCCUAACGGUGUGCACUGUGGUUGCGACUCUUCUUCCCGUAGUUUGGGGGUGCACUUAGUUGUGUGCUUUUGGAAUAUGGGACCUUUACUUUGAAAAAAUUAGAGUGUUCAAAGCAGGCCUUCGCUUGAAUACAUUAGCAUGGAAUAAUAGAAUAGGACUUUGGUUCUAUUUUGUUGGUUUCUAGGACCGAAGUAAUGAUUAAUAGGGACAGUUGGGGGCAUUAGUAUUUAAUUGUCAGAGGUGAAAUUCUUGGAUUUAUGAAAGACUAACUACUGCGAAAGCAUUUGCCAAGGAUGUUUUCAUCG
This 386-nucleotide ribosomal RNA is filed under the name Acanthoecida sp. RNAcentral's name for it is "partial small subunit ribosomal RNA". It matches the Rfam family "Eukaryotic small subunit ribosomal RNA", at positions 582 to 975 of the family's 1831-position model. Lineage: Eukaryota; Choanoflagellata; Acanthoecida. The record is from RNAcentral.